CAGCCGCCACGGUAAUACAGAGGAUGCAGGCGUUAUCCGGAAUGAUUGGGCGUAAAGCGUCUGUAGGUGGCUUUUCAAGUCCGCCGUCAAAUCCCAGGGUUCAACCCUGGACAGGCGGUGGAAACUACCAAGCUGGAGUGCGGUAGGGGCAGAGGGAAUUUCCGGUGGAGCGGUGAAAUGCGUUGAGAUCGGAAAGAACACCAACGGAGAAAGCACUCUGCUGGGCCGACACUGACACUGAGAGACGAAAUCUAGGGGAGCAAAUGGGAUUAGAUACCCCUGUAGUCCCUGUCUCUUAUAA
This 301-nucleotide ribosomal RNA is filed under the name uncultured bacterium. RNAcentral's name for it is "partial 16S ribosomal RNA". It matches the Rfam family "Bacterial small subunit ribosomal RNA", at positions 509 to 809 of the family's 1533-position model. The record is from RNAcentral.